CCCUUAGAUGUUCUGGGCCGCACGCGCGCUACACUGAUGCAUUCAACGAGUUUCUUCCUGGUCCGAGAGGAAUGGGUAACCUUUUGAAAGUGCAUCGUGAUAGGGAUAGACUAUUGCAAUUAUUGGUCUUCAACGAGGAAUUCCUAGUAGACGUAGUUCAUCAGACUGCAUCGAUUACGUCCCUGCCCUUUGUACACACCGCCCGUCGCUACUACCGAUUGAACGGUUUAGUGAGGGCCUCGGAUUGGUCUCGGCCCGCUCUUUACCGGGCGGCGCCGUUGGUCGAGAAGACGCUCGAACUUGAUCGUUUAGAGGAAGUAAAAGUCGUAACA
RNAcentral lists this ribosomal RNA (332 nucleotides) under uncultured eukaryote. RNAcentral's name for it is "partial 18S ribosomal RNA". It matches the Rfam family "Eukaryotic small subunit ribosomal RNA", at positions 1470 to 1796 of the family's 1831-position model. The record is from RNAcentral.